GGUGCACACACCGAUCCUGCACAACGCAGCCUUCUCUUCGUUCUCUCGAGCAGCAGCACUAGGAGCCCCGCAGACCCAGCCACCAUGAUCAAGGUUCUGAUCUUCCUCGCCAUGCUGGCCCUCUUCGCUGUGUCGCAGGCUGUGGCCAAGCCGCAGUACUACGUCGCAGAUGGCCUGUACUACGGCUACCCGUAUGCCGCCUACUACGGCGCAUACUACCCUCACUACUACUACGGGCGCUAAGCCUGAGCUCAUGCUGGCGCAGCGACAGUCCGUGGUGAUUUCUUCGAAACCAACCUCAACUCGCUAACGCAUUCAACCGCUCACUACCACUGGAACCCUCGAAGAACUGCCUAGUCAUUUCACCGUAUUGAACUUCGAGCCAAACGCGCACGGACCUGAGCUGUCCUGCGUUCCCCGAGGACACAGCGACGUCCGCAUUUCUAACACCGGGUGUCACUCUAUCUGGUCACUGGGUUCCGAAAUAAAAUGUUUCUAACCAGA
Long non-coding RNA from Rhipicephalus sanguineus (brown dog tick), 504 nucleotides. RefSeq lists it as uncharacterized. The transcript is spliced from 3 exons. NCBI's taxonomy places the organism in Eukaryota, Metazoa, Arthropoda, Arachnida, Ixodida, Ixodidae. The record is from RefSeq and is a predicted model, not a curated record.